AUUGAACGCUGGCGGCAGGCCUAACACAUGCAAGUCGAGCGGAUGAAGGGAGCUUGCUCCUGGAUUCAGCGGCGGACGGGUGAGUAAUGCCUAGGAAUCUGCCUGGUAGUGGGGGAUAACGUCCGGAAAAGGGCGCUAAUACCGCAUACGUCCUGAGGGAGAAAGUGGGGGAUCUUCGGACCUCACGCUAUCAGAUGAGCCUAGGUCGGAUUAGCUAGUUGGUGGGGUAAAGGCCUACCAAGGCGACGAUCCGUAACUGGUCUGAGAGGAUGAUCAGUCACACUGGAGCUGAGACACGGUCCAGACUCCUACGAGAGGCAGCAGUGGGGAAUAUUGGACAGUGGGCGAAAGCCUUAUACAGCCAUGCCGCGUGUGUGAAGAAAGCCUUCGGAUUGUAAAGCACUUUAUGUUGGGAGGAAGGGCAGUAGGUUAAUACCUAGCUGUUUUGACGUUAACAACAGAAUAAGCACCGGCUAACUACGUG
RNAcentral lists this ribosomal RNA (484 nucleotides) under uncultured bacterium. RNAcentral describes it as "partial 16S ribosomal RNA". It matches the Rfam family "Bacterial small subunit ribosomal RNA", at positions 30 to 507 of the family's 1533-position model. The record is from RNAcentral.